Molecule: long non-coding RNA, 1716 nt
Organism: Chelonus insularis
Lineage: Eukaryota; Metazoa; Arthropoda; Insecta; Hymenoptera; Braconidae
Exons: 5
Source: RefSeq, a predicted model, not a curated record
AUGCAGGCCAGCCCUCAGUAAUGAAUAAUUGUGAGUGAUUGUUACUUGAAUACUCUAAAGUGAUGAGAAGGUUAAAAAGCAGAGAGAAAGUCUCCAUCUUUAAUGGCAUAAAGUGUAAAAUACUGAAGAAGUUACUUGCGAUGCUGCAAUUGCUUUCUAUUCCUUUCGGACUGAAAAAUAUACAUAAUUCGUACAUUCGUUGUACGUAAGCAAGCCAGAUAAAACGCUUGAGAUAAGAGAGAGGCGCCUGAUAUCACGUUGACUGGAUUAAGAACAAAAAGACGCAAAAGAUAGGAAGCUAAGAUUAAUACAAACCGAGAAAUUCCAACUUUAUGAUCCUUCCGUAUAUUCUAAGUUGAGAUGAAUUUUAGAUUCGAUUUACAAGUUUAUAAACUAAAUCCUGAUAUAUCUAUAUCUACAUAAAGCUUCUGAAUGCCAGGCAUCGUAGACUGUUGAUGCGUUGAUGCUUUCACGAGUGCAGUUGGCGAGUGCAAGGUCUCGUUAUCGUAGCUCGUAAAAUCACCGAUUGAAAUUGACGUUCAUGAGAAAGCGAGAUAAACGCAACUAUUUGUGAAAUCCUCAGUGCAACUUCUAUGCUCAUAUAUAUCCAAGUGGAACAGCAGAAACAUUGUUUAUUUACUCAAGAGUUGAGUUGGUAUGUUGAAUUGGAAAAUAAUAAUAUACUAUCAACAAGACAUCCUCUAAAAAGAUGGUUUGAGUUAUUAAUGGAUUUGCAGAUAAUGUAUGACGUAUGAAAACAUCUGUGAGAUAAAUCUUUGAUCGACAACACUACUUGUUAUAGUAGUUCACCGUUGAGGCAAAUAUUAACCCUGACCUAUGUCAUAAAUAAUACGAAUGAGCCAAUAGAAAAUAAGACUUGGAAGUCAAGUGCAAACAUUUAAACAAGUAACAAACAUGGAAAAUAAUUAUUACAACAUCGCUAAGUGGAAAAAUAAACUGAAGUCCGGCUAAUGUAAUGUCUACGAGAAUUUUUUUUACAGAGCCUGCUUUUAUCGUAUAAAAUUUAUGGGCUUUCCCAUGAACGAGUACGCAUUUUAUUGUAUGUUUGAAGAAAGAAUUAUAAAGGUGAAUCCUUUUCGUUUCAAAUCAAUUCUCCCAGUGCCAUAUAAAUCCGUAAAUACAAUAUAUUAAUACAGGUGUCACAGAGUUCUCAUACAUAUUUGGCCCUACGACGAAAUAUAAAAUCAAGGUUACACACUCAACUGGCUUUUACUUCCCACUAACAGCCGAUGACCAUGUCCGAACAGAUUCUAAGACCCAAAAUGUUUCAAGACGAUGCACCCGGUUGAACACGAAAAAAAGUGAAGAUCCUGUGUACAGGUAAUGGUGAUCUAAAACUCCCUGGAGUGAACCCUCAACUUUCAUUGACCUGCUCCGCCUUCCCAGGCUUUCUACCGCAUAAGACCCGCAUAGAACUCAUGCCUGUGCAUAUAUGAUUUCAAAUAAUAGGCCUCAAGUUAGCAACUGUGUGGAUUCAUGAAUAUAGAUUUUAUUAAAAAUGCUGAUAAGUAACUUCUCAGAAUUAUUGAAUGAAAGAAGCUUGAACAAAUCAUCAAGGCUAUUAAGUUGUAUACUUUGUAUAUCUAACGAACGAUCCUCUGGUUCAAAUGUCGCAGAGUACAAUAUAUUUGAGCUGAAGAGGAUACUUAUUAUAAAGAAUCCGCGCUUUCGAUCAGCUUUCACCGUUACUUCGCC